RNAcentral lists this ribosomal RNA (468 nucleotides) under uncultured bacterium. RNAcentral describes it as "partial 16S ribosomal RNA". It matches the Rfam family "Bacterial small subunit ribosomal RNA", at positions 28 to 507 of the family's 1533-position model. The record is from RNAcentral.
GACGAACGCUGGCGGCGUGCUUAGCACAUGCAAGUCGAACGGAAAGGCCCUGCUUUUGUGGGGUGCUCGAGUGGCGAACGGGUGAGUAACACGUGAGUAACCUGCCCUUGACUUUGGGAUAACUUCAGGAAACUGGGGCUAAUACCGGAUAGGAGCUCCUGCUGCAUGGUGGGGGUUGGAAAGUUUCGGCGGUUGGGGAUGGACUCGCGGCUUAUCAGCUUGUUGGUGGGGUAGUGGCUUACCAAGGCUUUGACGGGUAGCCGGCCUGAGAGGGUGACCGGCCACAUUGGGACUGAGAUACGGCCCAGACUCCUACGGGAGGCAGCAGUGGGGAAUAUUGCACAAUGGGCGGAAGCCUGAUGCAGCAACGCCGCGUGCGGGAUGACGGCCUUCGGGUUGUAAACCGCCUUCGCCUGUGACGAAGCGUGAGUGACGGUAAUGGGUAAAGAAGCACCGGCUAACUACGUG